UACGGAGGGUGCAAGCAUUGAUCGGAAUUACUGGGCGUAAAGGGCGCGUAGGCGGCCUUGAAAGUCAGAUGUGAAAUUCCGGGGCUCAACCCCGGAGCAGCAUUUGAAACUUCAAAGCUAGAGGUCAGUUAGGGAAAACGGAAUUCCACGUGUAGCGGUGAAAUGCGUAGAUAUGUGGAAGAACACCAGUGGUGAAGACGGUUUUCUGGGCUGAUACUGACGCUGAGGCGCGAGAGCGUGGGGAGCAAACAGG
RNAcentral lists this ribosomal RNA (253 nucleotides) under uncultured bacterium. RNAcentral describes it as "partial 16S ribosomal RNA". It matches the Rfam family "Bacterial small subunit ribosomal RNA", at positions 524 to 776 of the family's 1533-position model. The record is from RNAcentral.